UAUGUGUGUGUGUGUGUGUGUGCAUGUAUAUAUAUAUAUAUAUAUAUACAUGCACACACACACACAUACAUUCU
This 74-nucleotide microRNA precursor is filed under the name Marmota monax (woodchuck). The record is from RNAcentral. Lineage: Eukaryota; Metazoa; Chordata; Mammalia; Rodentia; Sciuridae.